This 204-nucleotide ribosomal RNA is filed under the name Heterosigma akashiwo. RNAcentral describes it as "partial Bacterial large subunit ribosomal RNA". It matches the Rfam family "Bacterial large subunit ribosomal RNA", at positions 2630 to 2833 of the family's 2925-position model. Lineage: Eukaryota; Raphidophyceae; Chattonellales; Chattonellaceae. The record is from RNAcentral.
UUCGGUCCAUAUCCGGUGUAGGCGGUAGAGCGUUGAGAGGAGCCUUCCAUAGUACGAGAGGACCUAGAAGGACGCACCACUAGUAUACCAGUUCUCGUUCCAACGGGAAACGCUGGGUAGCCAAGUGCGGAGCGGAUAACUGCUGAAAGCAUCUAAGUAGGAAGCCCACCUCAAGAUGAGCGCUCUCUCGAGGUCUUGGCAAGA